This 193-nucleotide ribosomal RNA is filed under the name uncultured bacterium. Its description in RNAcentral is "partial 16S ribosomal RNA". It matches the Rfam family "Bacterial small subunit ribosomal RNA", at positions 1308 to 1500 of the family's 1533-position model. The record is from RNAcentral.
CAACUCGCCUACAUGAAGUCGGAAUCGCUAGUAACCGCGGAUCAGCAUGCCGCGGUGAAUACGCUCCCGGGCCUUGUACACACCGCCCGUCACACCAUGAGAGUUUGUAACACCCAAAGCCGGUGGGGUAACCUUUUGGAGCCAGCCGUCUAAGGUGGGACAGAUGAUUGGGGUGAAGUCGUAACAAGGUAGC